RNAcentral lists this ribosomal RNA (921 nucleotides) under Staphylococcus epidermidis. RNAcentral describes it as "bacterial SSU rRNA". It matches the Rfam family "Bacterial small subunit ribosomal RNA", at positions 8 to 910 of the family's 1533-position model. Lineage: Bacteria; Bacillati; Bacillota; Bacilli; Caryophanales; Staphylococcaceae. The record is from RNAcentral.
AGAGUUUGAUCCUGGCUCAGGAUGAACGCUGGCGGCGUGCCUAAUACAUGCAAGUCGAGCGAACAGACGAGGAGCUUGCUCCUCUGACGUUAGCGGCGGACGGGUGAGUAACACGUGGAUAACCUACCUAUAAGACUGGGAUAACUUCGGGAAACCGGAGCUAAUACCGGAUAAUAUAUUGAACCGCAUGGUUCAAUAGUGAAAGACGGUUUUGCUGUCACUUAUAGAUGGAUCCGCGCCGCAUUAGCUAGUUGGUAAGGUAACGGCUUACCAAGGCAACGAUGCGUAGCCGACCUGAGAGGGUGAUCGGCCACACUGGAACUGAGACACGGUCCAGACUCCUACGGGAGGCAGCAGUAGGGAAUCUUCCGCAAUGGGCGAAAGCCUGACGGAGCAACGCCGCGUGAGUGAUGAAGGUCUUCGGAUCGUAAAACUCUGUUAUUAGGGAAGAACAAAUGUGUAAGUAACUAUGCACGUCUUGACGGUACCUAAUCAGAAAGCCACGGCUAACUACGUGCCAGCAGCCGCGGUAAUACGUAGGUGGCAAGCGUUAUCCGGAAUUAUUGGGCGUAAAGCGCGCGUAGGCGGUUUUUUAAGUCUGAUGUGAAAGCCCACGGCUCAACCGUGGAGGGUCAUUGGAAACUGGAAAACUUGAGUGCAGAAGAGGAAAGUGGAAUUCCAUGUGUAGCGGUGAAAUGCGCAGAGAUAUGGAGGAACACCAGUGGCGAAGGCGACUUUCUGGUCUGUAACUGACGCUGAUGUGCGAAAGCGUGGGGAUCAAACAGGAUUAGAUACCCUGGUAGUCCACGCCGUAAACGAUGAGUGCUAAGUGUUAGGGGGUUUCCGCCCCUUAGUGCUGCAGCUAACGCAUUAAGCACUCCGCCUGGGGAGUACGACCGCAAGGUUGAAACUCAAAGGAAU